AGUGAACGCUGGCGGUAGGCCUAACACAUGCAAGUCGAACGGCAGCACAGUAAGAGCUUGCUCUUACGGGUGGCGAGUGGCGGACGGGUGAGGAAUACAUCGGAAUCUACUUUUUCGUGGGGGAUAACGUAGGGAAACUUACGCUAAUACCGCAUACGACCUACGGGUGAAAGCAGGGGAUCUUCGGACCUUGCGCGAUUGAAUGAGCCGAUGUCGGAUUAGCUAGUUGGCGGGGUAAAGGCCCACCAAGGCGACGAUCCGUAGCUGGUCUGAGAGGAUGAUCCGCCAACCUGGAACUGAGACACGGUCCAGACUCCUACCGGAGGCAGCAGUGGGGAAUAUUGGACCAUGGGCGCAAGCCUGAUCCCGCCCUACCGCGUGGGUUAAGAAGGCCUUCGGGUUGUAAAGCCCUUUUGUUGGGAAAGAAAAGCAGCAGGUUAAUACCCCGCUGUUCUGACGGUACCCAAAGAAUAAGCAACGGCUAACUUCGUG
This 492-nucleotide ribosomal RNA is filed under the name uncultured bacterium. Its description in RNAcentral is "partial 16S ribosomal RNA". It matches the Rfam family "Bacterial small subunit ribosomal RNA", at positions 29 to 507 of the family's 1533-position model. The record is from RNAcentral.